Molecule: long non-coding RNA, 551 nt
Organism: Antechinus flavipes (yellow-footed antechinus)
Lineage: Eukaryota; Metazoa; Chordata; Mammalia; Dasyuromorphia; Dasyuridae
Exons: 3
Source: RefSeq, a predicted model, not a curated record
AUGAUUUCUCUCCUUUCUUUUUACAGUGAGUGAAAGAUGGAGAAAAAAAUUGCUAAUUGAAAAAAUUAAAUUCAAUUAACAGGGAUCUAAUACAGAGGCUGUCAAAUUUAGAAAGAUAGCUCUAUAACUAGAUGAAUGGAUAGAGUGCUUAUUAAAUACUUACUAUGUGCUAAGCAUAGUGUUAAGGUUUGGGAAUCCAAAUAUGUGAAAACAAGACUGUCUUUACUUGUAAGAAGAUUUUAUCCUGAGACCAAAAAAGAAUACUUACAGGGGAAUUGAAAAGGAGAUUGGGGCAAACUAUAGAUGAAGAAGAGAUGGCAAAGGCUAAAGAAUGAAAGAACUGGAGUCCUUUCUAAUGAAGCUUACCACCAUACAUGGACCCAAUCUGCAAAUCUUGAUUCUUGAAGAUAAUGGGGAGGAUGAAAGGAGGUAAAAGAAUAAAGUAAAUAAAUUGUGCAACAGAGAACCAAAGAACAAUUUAUAAAGAAGUAAAGAAAAAAUGGACAUUCAUGAAUAUAAUUUCUUCUACUAACACACACACACACACACAC